UACGUAGGGGGCUAGCGUUGUCCGGAAUCAUUGGGCGUAAAGCGCGUGUAGGCGGUUCGGUAAGUCCGCUGUGAAAGUCGGGGGCUCAACCCUCGGAUGCCGGUGGAUACUGUCGAGCUUGAGUACGGAAGAGGCGAGUGGAAUUCCUGGUGUAGCGGUGAAAUGCGCAGAUAUCAGGAGGAACACCAAUGCGAAAGGCAGCUCGCUGGGACGUUACUGACGCUGAGACGCGAAAGCGUGGGGAGCAAACAGG
RNAcentral lists this ribosomal RNA (253 nucleotides) under uncultured bacterium. RNAcentral describes it as "partial 16S ribosomal RNA". It matches the Rfam family "Bacterial small subunit ribosomal RNA", at positions 524 to 776 of the family's 1533-position model. The record is from RNAcentral.